GAUUAGUGGCGAACGGGUGAGUAAUACGUGAGCAAUGUGCCCUUGACUCUGGGAUAAGCGCUGGAAACGGCGUCUAAUACCGGAUACGACGAUCGGAGGCAUCUCCUGGUCGUGGAAAGAACUUCGGUCAAGGAUCAGCUCACGGCCUAUCAGUUAGUUGGUGAGGUAAUGGCUCACCAAGACGACGACGGGUAGCCGGCCUGAGAGGGUGACCGGCCACACUGGGACUGAGACACGGCCCAGACUCCUACGGGAGGCAGCAGUGGGGAAUAUUGCACAAUGGGCGCAAGCCUGAUGCAGCAACGCCGCGUGAGGGACGAAGGCCUUCGGGUUGUAAACCUCUUUUAGCAGGGAAGAAGCGAAAGUGACGGUACCUGCAGAAAAAGCACCGGCUAACUACGUGCCAGCAGCCGCGGUAAUACGUAGGGUGCAAGCGUUGUCCGGAAUUAUUGGGCGUAAAGAGCUCGUAGGCGGUUUGUCACGUCUGCUGUGAAAACCCGAGGCUCAACCUCGGGCUUGCAGUGGGUACGGGCAGACUAGAGUGCGGUAGGGGAGAUUGGAAUUCCUGGUGUAGCGGUGGAAUGCGCAGAUAUCAGGAGGAACACCGAUGGCGAAGGCAGAUCUCUGGGCCGUAACUGACGCUGAGGAGCGAAAGCAUGGGGAGCAAACAGGCUUAGAU
RNAcentral lists this ribosomal RNA (679 nucleotides) under Agrococcus sp. I12A-00841. Its description in RNAcentral is "bacterial SSU rRNA". It matches the Rfam family "Bacterial small subunit ribosomal RNA", at positions 90 to 783 of the family's 1533-position model. Lineage: Bacteria; Bacillati; Actinomycetota; Actinomycetes; Micrococcales; Microbacteriaceae. The record is from RNAcentral.